This 21-nucleotide non-coding RNA is filed under the name Caenorhabditis elegans. Lineage: Eukaryota; Metazoa; Nematoda; Chromadorea; Rhabditida; Rhabditidae. The record is from RNAcentral.
UAAUAAGCUUGGAUCUCAGAG